This 2631-nucleotide long non-coding RNA is filed under the name Olea europaea subsp. europaea. Lineage: Eukaryota; Viridiplantae; Streptophyta; Magnoliopsida; Lamiales; Oleaceae. The record is from RNAcentral.
UUUCAUUCUAAUUCAACUUUGCAGUCUCGUGGAGUAAUUUCUAGUUUGCUAACUAUUUUCCACUAGGCUUUUUUGUGCAAAGUCAAAAUCGACCAACCCAAUCCAGUCUGACCGUAACUUGAUUAGGUUAGGUUGGAUUGGUUUGAAAGACAUAAAUGGGUUGGGUUGAUUUUCAAUCAAACCAAUCGUGUUGGGUUGGGUUUGGGUUGAGUCAAAAAUUGACCCAACCCAACCCAACCCAUGCCCACCCCUAAUUAAGAUAGCCCUUAUCCCAUGCCCAGAAGUAUCAGUCUCAAUUGUGAAGACUUGUAAAAAAAUCUGGAAGAGCCAAUACUGACAUCGUUGUCAUUGCUUCUUUCAAUUUUGUGAAGGUAGACUCUGUUGCGUCAUUCCACCCGAAGCUAUCUUUCUCUAGUAGUUGAGUUCACGGCCAAGCUAUCUUUCCAUAGGAUUCCACAAGCCGUCGAUAAUAUCUAGUCAACACCCACCCCACAGUUCUUUAAGUGUCUGAUGAUGUGGCUAGUCUUUCAUAGCAGAUAACUUGUAUUUGUCUGUUGCCACUCCAUUGUCUAAUAUGAUGUGCCCGAGAUACUCUAUCCCCGUUUGCCCAAAUGAACAUUUCUUCUUGUUUGCAAAGAGCUUGUUUUCUACUAGAAUUCAGCUCCACCAGAUUGAUAGACUAUGCCUUUGAAUUCAGUUGGGAUCCACCUGGAGUCAAGAUGAGAAUAGCACAUAGACAGAAAUGAAAUUCCGUAUUGAUUUGGGAAUGGAAUUACAAAACACGAAAGGAUUUACAAGCAGCAUUUAGAGAGGACUAUGACUCUCCACACACUAAUUUCACUCACUAAAAUGAACAUAUCUUUCUUCUCUCACUCUUUUUCUAUUUAUAGACUCAUGUAAUAGAUUUUGGCUACCUCGCCGCACCUUUCUAAUAGAAUUUGUUACUGCCUUCUUCUUUCUCCAUUCUGAUUGUUUCUUCUAGAAUAUGUGUAUUUAAUUGGGGGCUUAUCAGUUGUCUUAUUUUCUGAAUGAAUUGUUGAGAAAUUAAUGUGUCAUUGUUAGGUUUUAUGUAAUUGGUGAUUCUGUGAACAAAAAGGACUAAAUUGAACACGCGUAAAGUCAAGGAGUUAUAUGCAAUUUUGUAUAGAUAAGUCAGGCAAGUUAGGAUUCGAGUCCGGAAUAAGAAAAGAAGAGACGUCGCAUUUUCGCUAGCUGCUGGCCAAGACAUUGUUCGAGCGACAAAAACAGAAUGAUCAUCGCUAGCCUGUCACUCGAACUUCGCUCGAUUUAAAGUUUGUCGCUUAUUUUUCGCUGGAGUGACCGUGUUAUGUGACCAACCCUAAUUUGCGAUUUUGAAAGGUUUUACAUGGACUAUAAUACCUAAAAAUCUCUAACUAUAAAUAUCCAAGCUUUGUACUUUUUUAUGGUGGUUGUUCAUUAUGCCUUAUAUACAUAUCAUAAUCAUAUCAAUCUUUUGGUGAUGCAAGACCCUACUCAUACCUUGAUUCAAUCCUUUGAUUCUUGAGAUCUUGCAACCACAUAUUUGGAAAAACAUCAAAUACUUGAAUCCAAAACACCUAACUUCUUAACACCAUAAGGAAGAGACUUUUUCAGUUGGGCAUUGGGAGAGGUGGACUGCAAGCACGGGAAAAGCAUAAGAAUUGACUAUUCUUGAAAUUUCACUUGGAAGAGACAAUUGGAGAUAAUCGGGAAGCCAGUGGAGUCAGCAGAUCUUGGAGAUUACACAAGGUGGAUCGAAAAGUCUAGUGGAGUUGGCUAGACAAUAUCUAACUCUAAGGCUCAUUGUCUAUAGUGGAGGUAACUGACUUGGUCCCGGAGUUUUUAUCCAUUUGGGUUUCUUCGAUAACAAUAUUGGUGUUAUUUAUUGCUUUCAUAGUACAAUCUACAGUAAUUCAACAAAGAAAAAUUUGACUUGCAUGCGUAACCAUCUAAAAAUAAUUAAUAAGUGACUUGUCGCUUAUAAUUGUAUAUUCCGCACGUAAGGACAAACUAAAUCAGAUAAGUAAACAAACUUUCAAUAAUCCUUAUGAGUAGUAGGUGUAGUUAUAUACUGUUUUGAAGUUUGAAGUGCUGUGAGUGUUUUGGGAUAGGCUUCCGGUUCUUGGUAGUGCUUGUAACAUUGAACUAUUGCAAACCCGUUUCAUGGUGAAAUAGUGCAAUGGGGACAUAUCUGUCAUUUUUGAGGAGAGCGUUGAGAAUUAGAAACCCUAAUUUAAUACCAUCGAGAGUAAUAAUAUCGCAGAAAGAAAAUAGACAUACAAAAAUGAGCAAAAUUUAUAGAAGUUUGUGUUAAUGUGGGACUACAUUAUCUUUCGUAACUACCAUAAGAAGUUUACAAGAAAAACUCACACCCUAGGUAGAUUCGCGUACGGUAGCUACACACGACAAUAAUUAUGUUCCACAAUUUAGCAAAGAGUUCGUAAGCAGUGGCCUGCUGAAUUCCCUGCCCUUGAUUAGUGGCAAAAGAAAUCUGGCGUUCUUUUGAUUUCUUGCACGCGAUUUUAUUUUCUGCUGCACGAUUCUUGUUCUCUGAUACCUAACACUAUGAAGAAACUCCUGAUGAUGAGGCUUGGCAGUGGAUCUUCGUUGAGGCUACAGAUGUGAAGGUGC